GAUGAACGCUGGCGGCGUGCCUAAUACAUGCCAGUCGAGCGAACGGACGAGAAGCUUGCUUUUCUGAUGUUAGCGGCGGACGGGUGAGUAACACGUGGAUAACCUACCUAUAAGACUGGGAUAACUUCGGGAAACCGGAGCUAAUACCGGAUAAUAUUUUGAACCGCAUGGUUCAAAAGUGAAAGACGGUCUUGCUGUCACUUAUAGAUGGAUCCGCGCUGCAUUAGCUAGUUGGUAAGGUAACGGCUUACCAAGGCAACGAUGCAUAGCCGACCUGAGAGGGUGAUAGGCCACACUGGAACUGGGACACGGUCCAGACUACUACGGGAGGCAGCAGUAGGGAAUCUUCCGCAAUGGGCGAAAGCCUGACGGAGCAACGCCGCGUGAGUGAUGAAGGUCUUCGGAUCGUAAAACUCUGUUAUUAGGGAAGAACAUAUGUGUAAGUAACUGUGCACAUCUUGACGGUACCUAAUCAGAAAGCCACGGCUAACUACGUG
This 497-nucleotide ribosomal RNA is filed under the name uncultured bacterium. Its description in RNAcentral is "partial 16S ribosomal RNA". It matches the Rfam family "Bacterial small subunit ribosomal RNA", at positions 28 to 507 of the family's 1533-position model. The record is from RNAcentral.